RNAcentral lists this long non-coding RNA (4062 nucleotides) under Gadus morhua (Atlantic cod). RNAcentral describes it as "lncRNA (ENSGMOG00000035314.1)". Lineage: Eukaryota; Metazoa; Chordata; Actinopteri; Gadiformes; Gadidae. The record is from RNAcentral.
AUAAUAAUUGUUGUCCACACUCUAAAAAGUAUAUUUUUUCAAAAGUUGAAGUAAAGUACUGUUUUGAAUAAGUCUGAUUCAGAUUUCUGCUUUAGCGACGGCAAUUUACUUUUGUGUAUUAUAUCAAAUAUAAAUUGUACUUUAUUACAUUGACCUGCUAUAGGCCUAUGUCACGGAACAAUUGAAGACCGGAAGAAGCUCGCGGAGUAGGGUAACUGCUCUUCCGCUUAGCUUAGCUAAGCUGUUUACCAUGGCGGAGGCAGAUCAAUACCUUUGGACCAAGUCUCUCCAACCUACCUAAAUUGUCCUACGACGACGUCCUAAGGAUAGUAAAUCAGCACUUACGUGUCGAAACAUCUAAACUACGCAAAGGAUAUAAGUUAUUCUGGGAGAAGUACAUUUUUAAUUACAUAGGUAAGUGUUUCAAAUCUGUUGACACUGUGUAGCUUGACUGUGACAGAUAGCACUAAGUGUAAUACAUGUCAGUUAAAACGUAUCCUUUUUAAUUAAUCGCAAAAUAUUUUUUUACACUGGUAGGAAUACAUAUUUAGUUUGAGUGUCUCUGAAACUUUGCCUGACGAACCCCAAGAGGUUUGGUAUAGGUAGGUAGCCACUGCCUACCGUACAUGUAAGUGUCGAUAGUAUGUCAGAUUAGCUCCAGGCUACUGUCAGAACAUAGUGGCUGGGUGGCUGUCAUAAACUACCAAUGCCCAUACAUUUUGCUGUAUGGUGUGUUAAUCUUUCCCUCUUACUGCAGUGUCAGAUUUAGUUAAUUUGGAAGUAGCAGUUCGGGCGAACUGCUACUGUUCCCAGAAGAAAAACGCUUUUCAUAGUCUUUUGUGAAUCAAUGGGACUGUUACUUAGGCCUACCUUUCUGACCACUUUAAUUAGAUUUACAUUUUGUGAUUCAAACAACAGGCCCACCUCGUAAUAUGUAGCAUAAUGGAUAGCCUAGAGCAUGGUUUCAGACCUUCACAGAUUCAGUUGCAUGUUCAGUCUGUGUGUUUUUUAUUAUUAUGGUUUCUUGUUGCUGUUCCAAAAUGCUCUCUCUUUCUCCAGAUCUGCUGUUGCAGAUGAUAAUGUUUUGUUUCAUGUCUGCUGUUGCAGAUUGUCAUGUUUUGUUUUAUAUCUGCUCUUCCAGACACAUGACAACCACUUCACAGGGGAGAAAAGCGUGCCAACACCUCUGUCGUGCACCAGUGUUCUGCAGACGUGGACCAAGGACACAGGGGAUUCGCCCGGAACCCAUUGACCAACUUAUGGUCAGGAAACCCAAGGUUUGGGUUAGGUGUUUUAUUUGAGCACAUACAUGGACACAUACCUCCUGAAUGCCAAGUAAAUAUGGCCGAGGGAUACACACACCCCAUUCCAUUUAUUUAUUUCUGUUAAAUGUAUAUAUGUAAAUAUUUUAAUCAAAGAAUUGGAAACGAACAUUCCUGAACAUUUGUUUUAAGGUAACACACUCUGAGCACCUUUAAAACAAGCCUGAAGACUUUUAUGUUUGCAUUAGCUUUCUGCUACAUCUUAAAUACAUUGCACUUUCUAAAAAGCUUUUUUAACUUUGCCUUUAUUUUCUAUUUUAAUACUAAAAUGCCUUUAACUUUCUAUUUUACUCAUUUCUCUGCAUAUGUUUUCUUUUACUUAUCUAUUUUAUUGUAUGACAAUGUUUAUAUGUGAAGCACUUUGAGUCUUCCCUUGUGUAUGAAAAGUGCUAAAUAAAGUUGCCUUGCCUAACACACAGAACAUUUCAUUUCUUUCUGUUAAAUGUAAAUAUGUAUAUAUGUAAAUUUAAAAAAAAGAACUGGAAACAAACAUUAAAUAAACAUUUGAAAAGGACGGACGGACACAAACACACACACCAUUUUAAUUUCUUUCUGCUAAAUGUAAACAAAGAACAUUAAUAAACGUUUGAAAAUAGUCAUGUGACGUCAUGUGUGUUUUAAUGUGUAACACUGGGACAUCACCCUUAACAUCUAAAGGACCUUGAUAGUUAGACAUCAAGCAAGAAUUUACCCACAGCUGAUUGACAGAGACUGAAAGAGUCAGAGGAAUGGUUGUGCCCAGAUAUGAUAUUCUUUGACCCUUCUGAUGGCCCUCUCCAAGAUUCUAAGUUGGGCGAUACUCACUGGUUAACCUGGUGCCUCUUUUAAAUGGCGGCAUUAUGAGGGUGGCCCCAACUUCAGAAAGCAUCUUGUCGAUAACAAAGCCUUUGUCAGCCAUGCAUGCAUCUCCUGGCUGAAGUAGACUAAGGAUUCCUGACUGCUGUGUGAUUUCUCUAUCUGAUAUGGAACCAGUGUACAGCUUAUAAAUUAGCUUAGAAAUGAAGGUGAUAACUCCACGUGAAGCAAUGCCAAUCAGACCUUUGAAGGUGUUGGUAUUCUUGUAGUGGGAGAAUGUUUCAGACUGGAGGGUGAGUGAUGAGGGUGCCUCACACCUGAUUUCUGUGCCGUCUAGAAUCACUCGCACGUUAGGACAGUACUGGGCAAAAAAAUAUCUCAACCAAGAUUUAUUUUGUCCUUCGGGAAAGCGUGGAAGCUGAGGUAUGGCUGUAUACGUCCUGAUGUAGAGCAACACGGUACAACAAGAACAACUGCGAAAGGGAGCUGCCAUUGUUGUUGCUGCUGGACGCGACCGGAAGUUGGAUUACCCUACUACGCGUUCCGGAAGCAGGAAGUGUGACAUAGGCCUAUUCUUAUGCAAAUGAAAGCGCUUCAAUUAGGUUUCCCUGUCUAACGUCAUGACGUGGACGUUUAUUUGUUGAACUUCAACGUCUUUUCCAGCCAGAUUUCUGUAGCUGAAGCUGAUAUUUUUUCUCCUCGUCAAUCUCAUCAUCCACGCGGUAAAGGUCACUCUGAAAAACCGUACGUUUAAUGUAGACAAAGUCAUGUGUUACAAAUUGUAUUUGUCAGAUAACAAAUGUUCUGCCUGUAUUGGUCAAAAAAUGUACGUCUUAAGGGUUAACUUUAGUUUACGAACUGAACCAGACCAGUGCCAUGCCGUAAUUCCGACGCCUCAUUGUUCCGACGUCUCAAUGGUCCGAAAUAUUUCCCAUUAGAUCGACAUGCCACUAUGCCGACGGUUAAAUUUUACGAAAACGGAACCCAGUGUUCCGAAGGCCCGUUUGUCCGAUAAAUCAAACAAGAGGCGCAUUAUAGGCCGACGGUUCAAUAUGCCGAAUAGGCCUACAUAACCGUUGGCCUAAUGCGCCUUUCCAAUGGGAAAUAUUUCGGACCAUUGAGACGUCGGAGCAAUGAGGUGUCGGAAUUAGGGUUAUCUUUAGGUUAGAUUAACAUGUUCGAUGCAUUUAACGGAUUUUGUGAAAAGUGUUAUAUGUUCAAACCACUGGUGUGCUAAAGGUAAUGGCAUUAAAAAUUAUAGUGAUCGUUAUGCUAUUAACUGAUCAGUAGCAGCAGCGCUCUGAUGCUAUUUCAUUUAGCAUUUUGCUAAAUGAAUGACUUGUGCAAGUAACUUCAACGCGGGGCUCUCGUGGUGUAAUACUGUUACUGAAAGUAGUCUAAAGUUAACGUAUGUCAUACUGUGUACUGGUUAAGCUGCUUAUUUGCACAUUAACACGGAUACAUUUAGGCUUACAUGUGUUUGCAACUGUGCUACGCUCGCUCUCCGUUCUGUUAAGAUGUGUGUGGGGGUGGGUGUUUGGGUGUUUUACUGCCGCCACCGUCUCCGUUUACGUAUUUAGUGAGACACAGGCGACGAGAGAGGGUGCAUGUCGUUCUCAUGAAGCACAGUGGUGAGUCCGGCCGCUAAUUAAACAACACCACUGUUCUGCUGCUAUUCCUUUUAAAAAAAUUGUCAGUUUGCUAGCGGAGAGUUGGAGUAAACCUUUGGUUAGUAACCUUGUGCAAGGUAGUCUUGUGGUGUAAUACCGUUACUGAAAGUAAACGUAAGUCAUGUAGUUUACUGGUUAUGCCGCUUAUUUGCACAUCAGCGUGGAUACUUAAAGGCAUUUAUUUUACGGUCAAUGUGGUUACCCCCUAUAAGAAGAGUAUCCCCGGCCGCGGGAGCACGCAUAGUGCAGGUGGAAGCACACAGACACUACGGUUC